This 253-nucleotide ribosomal RNA is filed under the name uncultured bacterium. Its description in RNAcentral is "partial 16S ribosomal RNA". It matches the Rfam family "Bacterial small subunit ribosomal RNA", at positions 524 to 776 of the family's 1533-position model. The record is from RNAcentral.
UACGUAGGGUGCGAGCGUUGUCCGGAAUUAUUGGGCGUAAAGAGCCUGUAGGCGGUUUGUCGCGUCUGCUGUGAAAAUCCGGGGCUCAACCUCGGACUUGCAGUGGGUACGGGCAGACUAGAGUGUGGUAGGGGAGACUGGAAUUCCUGGUGUAGCGGUGAAAUGCGCAGAUAUCAGGAGGAACACCGAUGGCGAAGGCAGGUCUCUGGGCCGCUACUGACGCUGAGAAGCGAAAGCGUGGGGAGCGAACAGG